AUAACUCCGGGAAACCGGGGCUAAUACCGGAUGCUUGUUUGAACCGCAUGGUUCAAACAUAAAAGGUGGCUUCGGCUACCACUUACAGAUGGACCCGCGGCGCAUUAGCUAGUUGGUGAGGUAACGGCUCACCAAGGCAACGAUGCGUAGCCGACCUGAGAGGGUGAUCGGCCACACUGGGACUGAGACACGGCCCACACUCCUACGGGAGGCAGCAGUAGGCAAUCUUCCGCAAUGGACGAAAGUCUGACGGAGCAACGCCGCGUGAGUGAUGAAGGUUUUCGGAUCGUAUAGCUCUGUUGUUAGGAAAGAACAAGUACCGUUCGAAUAGGGCGGUACCUUGACGGUACCUAACCAGAAAGCCACGGCUAACUACGUGCCAGCAGCCGCGGUAAUACGUAGGUGGCAAGCGUUGUCCGGAAUUAUUGUGCGUAAAGGGCUCGCAGGCGGUUUCUUAAGUCUGAUGUGAAACCCCCUGGCUCAACCGGGGAGGGUCAUUGCAAACUGGGUAACUUGAGUGCAGAAGAAGAGAGUGUAAUUCCACGUGUAGCGGUGAAAUGCGUAGAGAUGUGGAGGAACACCAGUGACGAAGGUCACUCUCUGGUCUGUAACUGACGCUGAGGCGAA
RNAcentral lists this ribosomal RNA (627 nucleotides) under Bacillus subtilis. RNAcentral describes it as "bacterial SSU rRNA". It matches the Rfam family "Bacterial small subunit ribosomal RNA", at positions 143 to 757 of the family's 1533-position model. The record is from RNAcentral. Lineage: Bacteria; Bacillati; Bacillota; Bacilli; Caryophanales; Bacillaceae.